RNAcentral lists this unclassified non-coding RNA (335 nucleotides) under soil metagenome. RNAcentral's name for it is "partial contains 5.8S ribosomal RNA, internal transcribed spacer 2, and large subunit ribosomal RNA". The stretch from base 1 to 120 matches the Rfam family "5.8S ribosomal RNA", at positions 35 to 154 of the family's 154-position model. The record is from RNAcentral.
GAUGAAGAACGCAGCGAAAUGCGAUAAGUAGUGUGAAUUGCAGAAUUCAGUGAAUCAUCGAAUCUUUGAACGCACAUUGCGCCCUUUGGUAUUCCUUAGGGCAUGCCUGUUCGAGCGUCAUCUAAACCUUCAAGCCCUGCUUGGUGUUGGGUGCCUGUCCCGCCUCCGCGCGUGGACUCACCUCAAAUCCAUUGGCGGCCCCCGCGUCGGCCACGAGCGCAGCAGAAACGCGAACUCGUGAGCCCGUCCGGGCGGCUCCCAGAAGCUAACCCCCAAUUUUUGACCUCGGAUCAGGUAGGGAUACCCGCUGAACUUAAGCAUAUCAAUGCGGAGGA